RNAcentral lists this ribosomal RNA (417 nucleotides) under Megalommum sp. RNAcentral's name for it is "partial 16S ribosomal RNA". Lineage: Eukaryota; Metazoa; Arthropoda; Insecta; Hymenoptera; Braconidae. The record is from RNAcentral.
GUCUUUAAGAAUUUAAUUUUAAGUCAAAUCUGCCCAAUGAAUUAUAUUUUUAAUGGCUGCAGAAUUUUAACUGUACAAAGGUAGCAUAAUAAUUUGUUUUUUAAUUAAAAACUAGAAUGAAAGAUUUAAUGAAAUAUAAACUUUUUCAAUUAAAUUAAUUAUUAAAUUUUUUAUUUAAGUAAAAAAACUUAAAUAAAUUUUAAAGACGAUAAGACCCUAUAGAAUUUUAUUUAUUUAUAUUUUUAUAAAAAAAAUUUAAUAAAUUUUAUUGGGGUAAUAAAAAAAUUUAUAUAAUUUUUUAUAAAAAAUACAUUUUUAAAUGAACAAUCAAUCUUAAUUUUUAAAUUAAAAAAAUUAAUUACCUUAGGGAUAACAGCAUAAUUUUUUUUAAAAGAUCUCAUUAAUAAAAAAGAUUAU